RNAcentral lists this ribosomal RNA (489 nucleotides) under uncultured bacterium. Its description in RNAcentral is "bacterial SSU rRNA". It matches the Rfam family "Bacterial small subunit ribosomal RNA", at positions 28 to 507 of the family's 1533-position model. The record is from RNAcentral.
GAUGAACGCUAGCUACAGGCUUAACACAUGCAAGUCGAGGGCAGCAUGAACUUAGCUUGCUAAGUUUGAUGGCGACCGGCGCACGGGUGAGUAACACGUAUCCAACCUGCCGAUGACUCGGGGAUAGCCUUUCGAAAGAAAGAUUAAUACCCGAUGGCAUAGUUCUUCCGCAUGGUAGAACUAUUAAAGAAUUUCGGUCAUCGAUGGGGAUGCGUUCCAUUAGGUUGUUGGCGGGGUAACGGCCCACCAAGCCUUCGAUGGAUAGGGGUUCUGAGAGGAAGGUCCCCCCACAUUGGAACUGAGACACGGUCCAAACUCCUACGGGAGGCAGCAGUGAGGAAUAUUGGUCAAUGGACGAGAGUCUGAACCAGCCAAGUAGCGUGAAGGAUGACUGCCCUAUGGGUUGUAAACUUCUUUUAUACGGGAAUAAAGUGGGCUAUGUAUAGCUUUUUGUAUGUACCGUAUGAAUAAGGAUCGGCUAACUCCGUG